This 500-nucleotide ribosomal RNA is filed under the name uncultured bacterium. RNAcentral describes it as "bacterial SSU rRNA". It matches the Rfam family "Bacterial small subunit ribosomal RNA", at positions 28 to 507 of the family's 1533-position model. The record is from RNAcentral.
GACGAACGCUGGCGGCGUGCCUAAUACAUGCAAGUAGAGCGGAAUGAUGAAGAAGCUUGCUUCUUCUGAUUUUAGCGGCGGACGGGUGAGUAACACGUGGGCAACCUACCUUGUAGAUUGGGAUAACUCCGGGAAACCGGGGCUAAUACCGAAUAAUCCAUUUUGCUUCAUGGCGAGAUGUUGAAAGACGGUUUCGGCUGUCACUAUAAGAUGGGCCCGCGGCGCAUUAGCUAGUUGGUAGGGUAAUGGCCUACCAAGGCGACGAUGCGUAGCCGACCUGAGAGGGUGAUCGGCCACACUGGGACUGAGACACGGCCCAGACUCCUACGGGAGGCAGCAGUAGGGAAUCUUCCACAAUGGACGAAAGUCUGAUGGAGCAACGCCGCGUGAGUGAAGAAGGUUUUCGGAUCGUAAAACUCUGUUGUAAGGGAAGAACACGUACGAGAGUAACUGCUCGUACCUUGACGGUACCUUAUUAGAAAGCCACGGCUAACUACGUG